RNAcentral lists this ribosomal RNA (485 nucleotides) under uncultured bacterium. Its description in RNAcentral is "bacterial SSU rRNA". It matches the Rfam family "Bacterial small subunit ribosomal RNA", at positions 338 to 819 of the family's 1533-position model. The record is from RNAcentral.
CCUACGGGAGGCAGCAGUAAGGAAUAUUGGUCAAUGGGCGCAAGCCUGAACCAGCCAUGCCGCGUGCAGGAAGACGGCCCUAUGGGUUGUAAACUGCUUUUGAACAAGAGAAAACCUCGGUACGUGUACCGAGCUGAUAGUAUUGUUAGAAUAAGCAUCGGCUAACUUCGUGCCAGCAGCCGCGGUAAGACGAAGGAUGCAAGCGUUAUCCGGAUUCAUUGGGUUUAAAGGGUGCGUAGGCGGCCUGAUAAGUCAGUGGUGAAAUCUCUCAGCUUAACUGAGAAACUGCCAUUGAUACUGUCGGGCUUGAGUACAGAUGAUGUGGGCGGAAUAUGACAUGUAGUGGUGAAAUACUUAGAUAUGUCAUAGAACACCGAUUGCGAAGGCAGCUCACAAACUGUAACUGACGCUGAGACGACGAAGUAGNGGGAGUACAACAGAGUAGUAUACCUACGUAGUACGCGACCGUAACGUAACUAGUAUAC